Molecule: ribosomal RNA, 492 nt
Filed under: uncultured bacterium
Lineage: Bacteria
Description: partial 16S ribosomal RNA
Rfam family: Bacterial small subunit ribosomal RNA
Source: RNAcentral
GAUGAACGCUAGCUACAGGCUUAACACAUGCAAGUCGAGGGGAAACGGCAUCGAAAGCUUGCUUUUGAUGGGCGUCGACCGGCGCACGGGUGAGUAACGCGUAUCCAACCUGCCCAUCACUUGGGAAUAACCUUGCGAAAGUAAGACUAAUGCCCAAUGACAUCCCACGAAGGCAUCCGAAUGGGAUUAAAGAUUUAUCGGUGAUGGAUGGGGAUGCGUCUGAUUAGCUUGUUGGCGGGGUGACGGCCCACCAAGGCAACGAUCAGUAGGGGUUCUGAGAGGAAGGUCCCCCACAUUGGAACUGAGACACGGUCCAAACUCCUACGGGAGGCAGCAGUGAGGAAGAGUGGUCAAUGGGCGAGAGCCUGAACCAGCCAAGUAGCGUGCAGGAUGACGGCCCUAUGGGUUGUAAACUGCUUUUAUAAGGGAAUAAAGUGGGUCACGUGUGACUUUUUGCAUGUACCUUAUGAAUAAGGACCGGCUAAGUCCGUG